CCUACGGGUGGCAGCAGUGAGGAAUAUUGGUCAAUGGACGAGAGUCUGAACCAGCCAAGUAGCGUGAAGGAUGACUGCCCUAUGGGUUGUAAACUUCUUUUAUAAAGGAAUAAAACGAGGCACGUGUGCCUUUUUGCAUGUACUUUAUGAAUAAGGAUCGGCUAACUCCGUGCCAGCAGCCGCGGUAAUACGGAGGAUCCGAGCGUUAUCCGGAUUUAUUGGGUUUAAAGGGAGCGUAGAUGGGUUGUUAAGUUAGUUGUGAAAGGUUGCGGCUCAACCGUAAAAUUGCAAUUGAUACUGGCAGUCUUGAGUACAGUUGAGGUAGGCGGAAUGCGUGGUGUAGCGGUGAAAUGCUUAGAUAUCACGAAGAACCCCGAUUGCGAAGGCAGCUUACUAAACUGUGACUGACAUUGAUGCUCGAAAGUGUGGGUAUCAAACAGGAUUAGAUACCCGAGUAGUC
Molecule: ribosomal RNA, 460 nt
Filed under: uncultured bacterium
Lineage: Bacteria
Description: partial 16S ribosomal RNA
Rfam family: Bacterial small subunit ribosomal RNA
Source: RNAcentral